This 740-nucleotide ribosomal RNA is filed under the name Mycobacterium sp. BE2-LECU1A-W. RNAcentral describes it as "bacterial SSU rRNA". It matches the Rfam family "Bacterial small subunit ribosomal RNA", at positions 71 to 826 of the family's 1533-position model. The record is from RNAcentral. Lineage: Bacteria; Bacillati; Actinomycetota; Actinomycetes; Mycobacteriales; Mycobacteriaceae.
AAAGGCCCUUCGGGGUACUCGAGUGGCGAACGGGUGAGUAACACGCUCNGUGAUCUGCCCUGCACUUUGGGAUAAGCCUGGGAAACUGGGUCUAAUACCGAAUAUGAUCAUGCUCUUCAUGGGGUGUGGUGGAAAGCUUUUGCGGUGUGGGAUGGGCCCGCGGCCUAUCAGCUUGUUGGUGGGGUAAUGGCCUACCAAGGCGACGACGGGUAGCCGGCCUGAGAGGGUGACCGGCCACACUGGGACUGAGAUACRGCCCARACUCCUACGGGAGGCANCAGUGGGGAAUAUUGCACAAUGGGCGCAAGCCUGAUGCAGCGACGCCGCGUGAGGGAUGACGGCCUUCGGGUUGUAAACCUCUUUCAGCACAGACGAAGCGCGAGUGACGGUAUGUGCAGAAGAAGGACCGGCCAACUACGUGCCAGCAGCCGCGGUAAUACGUAGGGUCCGAGCGUUGUCCGGAAUUACUGGGCGUAAANAGCUCGUAGGUGGUUUGUCGCGUUGUUCGUGAAAACUCACAGCUUAACUGUGGGCGUGCGGGCGAUACGGGCANACUUGAGUACUGCASGGGAGACUGGAAUUCCUGGUGUANCGGUGGAAUGCNCACAUAUCAGGAGGAACACCGGUGGCGAAGGCGGGUCUCUGGGCAGUAACUGACGCUGAKGAUCGAAAGCGUGGGGAGCGAACANGAUUAGAUACCCUGGUAGUCCACGCCGUAAACGGUGGGUACUAGGUGUGGG